GUGUUCACCAUAUAAAAUUAUAGCACCAUUAUUAAUUUUCUAUUAGUCCUCACAAAUAAAACAUCCCCUCUCUAGGUCCUCUAUUUUGACAAAUAAAUUUAUCAAAUUAAUCCCUAUAUUGAACCCCAUGAACCCCCUUUUUCCCUUAUAAUAACAAUAAGAACACAUAAACGUGUACACAUUAGUUACUGCCUUUUAGGUAAAUCAAUUCUUGGGUUUCAAUUAUGUGAUAUUUUAGCAUAAUCUGAGUGGGGGUCAGUCAUUGAUAAGGACACAUCUAACAUGUUUGUGUGAUGUUACUCUGAGUGUAUAUCCACACCGGGCAGGCUUGAAAAAUAUGCCUGGCCACGGCGGGAUUCGAACCUACGACCUUUGGAAUACUAGCCCAAUGCUCUUCCAUCUGAGCUACGCGGUCAGGUCGGUUCGAGUGUGCGAUAUUUCGGAACAAAGUCACUUAGUUCCUUCGAUAUCAGUGUAAUCUAUAUAAUAAUCAUGAAAUCUAUAUAAUAAUCAUGAAAUCUGCUGUGUUGGUGUAAUGUACUGUACUCAGGUGACAUCACAGAGUAGAGACAUACAGAGCCGUAACUGACCGUCGUGAACACUGCGGAAGCUUACGUUUUCAUGUACCCACUUUUUUCAGUGCAAAAGAUCGGGCAAAAAAUGAUCAACUGCGCGUGCUCAGUAAGUUUAAAGUGAGUCGUCAUCAGGUCAUCAUCCAAUCAGUUGCAUGCAUCUAGUAACUUGCCGAGCAUGCGCACAAAAAAAGUGGGUACACUAGUUACAACUCUGUAUGUCUCUCCUCUGUGCUCCCAUGCAAUAGUUUUUGUAGUAAUCAACGGUAGGGUUUAAUUAAAUUAAAUAAUUUAAAAUCCUAUUCGUAUCAUAAUCUUAGCUCAGUUAACUAUAAAAUUGCUUAAAUUCCACCCACCCCACCCCUCAAUGAUGUUGCACCACUUUAUCAUAGCUUAGUAAAAAAAACAAAAAACAAAAAAAACCCAAAAAAACAAAAAAAAACCCAAAAAAACAAAAAAAACAAACUGUAUUAUAGCCUGUUGUUAUAUUGCAUGGGUCAUUAUCAAGACAGACUAGCAUGGAUGCAAUGCUCGCAGCGUUUACUGAACAGUAGAAUAGUUACUACUUCUAAAAUAUGUGGUCGGUUUUGGAGAAUAAAAAAUUUGGUUUUGGGGAUGGAGUGCUCCCAUAGGUCACCCUCAUCCCAUAGACUCACAAAUCGAUGUACCAUACAUUAAAAAUGUUAGAUUGAAGUAUAAAAUGCCCAACAUGGGGACCCAGACCCCCUGAGGGCAUUAAUUGCAUUAGAGUCCAACAUGGGGACCCAAACCCUCUGAGGACCGCCCAACAUGGGGACCCAAACCCCCUGAGGGCAGUAAUUACACUAGAGUCCAACAUGGGGACCCAAACCCCCUGAGGAUUGCCCAACAUGGGGACCAAAACCCCCUGAGGGCAUUAAUUACACUAGAGUCCAACAUGGGGACCCAGACCCCCUGAGGACAGCCCAAUAUGGGGACCCAGACCCCCCGAGGGCAUUAAUUAGAGUAACUGUGAGUCUGUGGGGUGACACUUUGACCAGUUGAAAGUAUAUAUUCGGAGCAUUUCUCCCCAACAACCCUUCUCCCACAACAUUGUGUGUGCUUUACUGUCUCAUAUAUAGCUCUCUUAAAUAUUAACUAACCGAAUUGAGGCAUUAAUUUACGAUAACUUUUACGAUAUUUUUAAUUACCGUCAUUAAUUCUUCACUAAAACGUUU
This is a non-coding RNA of Paramuricea clavata, 1768 nucleotides long. The record is from the annotation of a GenBank genome assembly. NCBI's taxonomy places the organism in Eukaryota, Metazoa, Cnidaria, Anthozoa, Malacalcyonacea, Plexauridae.